UACGUAGGGGGCAAGCGUUAUCCGGAUUUACUGGGUGUAAAGGGAGCGCAGACGGCAGUGCAAGUCUGGAGUGAAAGCCCGGGGCCCAACCCCGGGACUGCUCUGGAAACUGUACGGCUGGAGUACGGGAGGGGCAGGCGGAAUUCCUAGUGUAGCGGUGAAAUGCGUAGAUAUUAGGAGGAACACCGGCGGCGAAAGCGGCUCUCUGGCCUGUAACUGACACUGAGGCUCGAAAGCGUGGGGAGCAAACAGG
RNAcentral lists this ribosomal RNA (253 nucleotides) under uncultured bacterium. RNAcentral describes it as "partial 16S ribosomal RNA". It matches the Rfam family "Bacterial small subunit ribosomal RNA", at positions 524 to 776 of the family's 1533-position model. The record is from RNAcentral.